CGGAUUGUAGGCUGCAACUCGCCUACAUGAAGUCGGAAUUGCUAGUAAUCGCGGAUCAGCAUGCCGCGGUGAAUACGUUCCCGGGCCUUGUACACACCGCCCGUCACACCAUGGGAGUCGGCAACACCCGAAGCCUGUAGUCUAACCGCAAGGAGGACGCAGUCGAAGGUGGGAUUGAUGACUGGGGUGAAGUCGUAACAAGGUAUC
This 207-nucleotide ribosomal RNA is filed under the name uncultured bacterium. RNAcentral describes it as "partial 16S ribosomal RNA". It matches the Rfam family "Bacterial small subunit ribosomal RNA", at positions 1294 to 1500 of the family's 1533-position model. The record is from RNAcentral.